Molecule: long non-coding RNA, 1709 nt
Organism: Pseudoliparis swirei
Lineage: Eukaryota; Metazoa; Chordata; Actinopteri; Perciformes; Liparidae
Exons: 6
Source: RefSeq, a predicted model, not a curated record
GUUGAAUUGUGUUGCUACUGUCGAAUUAUGGCUCGUUUUCUUAAGAGUUCCCUCUUCUUUUGGCUGCCGCUAACAUUGCUUUGUGAAGUUUGAGGUAUUGUUAGACUUCAACGUAAAUAAGUUAUUACCGUAACAUCCCGGUUUUAAAAGAAAAAAUCGUAUUUAAUCACACACAGUUGGUGAUGGUGUAUAAGCUGAUGUUGCUACUGCACGUGUCCCCUCUGCCAGGGCUGGUCCAGCUAACUACCAGGUGUGGUUCUCAUGGAGCUAUCUUCUGCAGCUAGCGCUGAAUUGUCAGUGGUUAGGUUACUUAAGCUCCAACCCAAGGGUGCGCGAUGGAAGCUGAGCGAGCUAACCGCUAGCCCGCGAGCUAAUAGCGCUAGCUCGCGAGCUAAUAGCGCUAGCUCGCGAGCUAAUAGCGAGCGCCAGCACAGACCUGUUUUAAUUUAAUUCUGCAUGUAUUGAGUUCUCAACACGUAACUUAGAAUUUGCAAUGUCAUCCUCACAGUUGUACAGAAGUGACAACACUGUUGAUCGCCAUCUCUACAAUUCAGAUAAAAUGAACAGAAAGAAUGGGCCUGUCUCCAGCUCCACCAUUAGACGGAGGGUCCGUCAAGAUGUUUUGACUACAUCACUGUGAUUGAUGGGAAACUGAAUACAACUUUGACUGUUCAGUAAAGUUUCUUCUCUUCAAUGUGUAUAACACGCCUAUUAUUGCCGUUUAAUCUCUUUUUUUUACGGUAUACCUCGUGUUGUCAAACACACAUUUUCAUACUCCUGGUUAUUAAGAACUUUAAUAGUUGCAAAAUAUUAUUUUUUUCAAAGUUCUUGGAACAGAAGGUUAUAUUUCUGUGACAAGUGACACUGUUUGUUUCUUUCCUCUGUAAUUCAGGAUGUUCCACUUCAUAGAAUUCUUGACUAACAAAAUGGUAGCAGUAGUGCCAUAAAGCUAUACCAGCUUUGUGGCACUACUGCUACCGUUUUGGCCGAAUUAUCCGAGGGACGAAAGGGUGGACAAGGCUGUCAGAAGCGCCGAACAACCUGGACCAGACUGGCAGACACAUGACGUCAGAGUAAUUGGAUCAUGCGAUAAUUACUUGGUGGAAAUAUGUCUUGAGACACAUCAGAUCUCCAGUCAGAAGAGGAGGCAAUUCCUAAAAAGAGGAAGCCAAUGCCGGUCCAUUUCUAUGGAGACUCGGAUGGAGACAGUGAAAUGAAAAUUCCCCCCACAAAACAGGGGUCCAACCACUAGCGGGACAGUUGUCCCUCCAAUCAUUGCCUCCUCCUAACUAUUCCAUGUACUCCAUCACCAGCAGGACAGCGAACACGCCAGGGGGACACGCCCACCUGGCGAGGGGCGUGGUGUGGUUCAGACACCAUUGCCUGCUGUGCUGUUCCAGUUCAAAUCCUAGGCAUGCUGGAGACAAUUACAGAGGUGAGAGACCCGGUUCCGUUUCCGUGUACCACAAUGGAGGAAGUGGACCUUUUUGAGCAACGGCUCAAAGAUCCCGUCAACAUUCUAAUGAGUGAUGCCGUCAGAAAGAAUCAUGCCACACAUGCAUCCACUGAUGAACAGAUUCUAAAGCAUGCCAUUAGGUGGUUCAACCUGGCAGCAAACCGGGGUAGCUCCAGGAGGCGUGCUACUGUCGACAUCCCCCACACUGAACAGAAUUAAAAAUAUAUAUUUAUAUUUUUAUAUAUAAUAUAUA